This 22-nucleotide microRNA is filed under the name Macacine gammaherpesvirus 4 (Rhesus lymphocryptovirus). RNAcentral's name for it is "rlcv-miR-rL1-31-3p". Its record names the gene rlcv-miR-rL1-31-3p. The record is from miRBase by way of RNAcentral. Lineage: Duplodnaviria; Heunggongvirae; Peploviricota; Herviviricetes; Herpesvirales; Orthoherpesviridae.
UAGGCGUGUCGUCGUAAGCAGC